UUUCCAGAGGAAGGUUCGUCCGCUCUGGGUAAGUCGGGACCUAAGGCGAGGCCGAAAGGCGUAGUCGAUGGACAACAGGUAGAGAUUCCUGUACUUGUAUAUAUGUGAAGGAAUGACGGAGAGAGAAAGCUGAAGCCAGCGGCUGGAAGAGCUGGUGCAAGCGAGAUAGCGGGAUGGCAGGCAAAUCCGCCAUCCACAACGCGAAGACGUGAUGCGAACGGAAAGCUACGGCGAGUACGGAAGUCAGUGGACGAGCUUCCAAGAAAAGUUUCUAACGAGAGUAUAUGCAACCCGUACCGAAAAUGGACACACAUGGGUGAGGAGAGAAUCCUAAGGUGAGCGAGAGAACUAUAGCUAAGGAACUCUGCAAAAUGACUCCGUAACUUAGGGAGAAGGAGUGCUCAUAGAGAUAUGAGCCGCAGUGAAACGGCCCAAGCGACUGUUUACCAAAAACACAGCUCUCUGCUAAGCCGCAAGGCGAAGUAUAGGGGGUGACGCCUGCCCGGUGCUGGAAGGUUAAGGGGAGGGGUUAACGCAAGUGAAGCCCUGAACUGAAGCCCCAGUAAACGGCGGCCGUAACAAUAACGGUCCUAAGGUAGCGAAAUUCCUUGUCAGGUAAGUUCUGACCCGCACGAAAGGCGUAACGAUUUGGGCGCUGUCUCGGCUGUAGACUCGGUGAAGUCUUAGUACCUGUGAAGAUGCAGGUUACCCGCGACUAGACGGAAAGACCCCAUGGAGCUUCACUGCAGGUUGAUAUUGGGAUUUGAUGCAGCAUGUACAGGAUAGGUAGGAGGCUAGGAGAUGGAUACGCCAGUAUUCAAGGAGCCGCUGUUGGGAUACUACCCCUGUUGUAUUGGAUUUCUAACCGGACGACGUAAGCCGUUGACGGGACAGUGUCAGUCGGGCAGUUUGACUGGGGCGGUCGCCUCCCAAAGAGUAACGGAGGCGCCCAAAGAUACCCUCAGCUUGGAUGGAAAUCAAGCGCAGAGUGCAAAGGCAUAAGGGUGUUUGACUGCGAGACCUACAAGUCGAGCAGGGACGAAAGUCGGGCUUAGUGAUCCGGCGGUGCUGAAUGGAAAGGCCGUCGCUCAACGGAUAAAAGCUACCCUGGGGAUAACAGGCUGAUCUCCCCCAAGAGUUCACAUCGACGGGGAGGUUUGGCACCUCGAUGUCGGCUCAUCGCAUCCUGGAGCUGAAGUCGGUUCCAAGGGUUGGGCUGUUCGCCCAUUAAAGCGGUACGCGAGCUGGGUUCAGAACGUCGUGAGACAGUUCGGUCCCUAUCUGUCGUGGGCGUAGGAAGUUUGAGAAGAUCUGUCCUCAGUACGAGAGGACCGGGAUGGACAUAUCAAUGGUGCACCAGUUGUCACGCCAGUGGCACAGCUGGGUAGCUAAAUAUGGAAGGGAUAAACGCUGAAGGCAUCUAAGUGUGAAACCCACUUCAAGAUGAGACUUCCCAUUACGCAAGUAGGUAAGACCCCUUAAAGACGAUAAGGUUGAUAGGUCAGGAGUGUAAGCAUGGUGACAUGUUCAGCGGACUGAUACUAAUAGGUCGAGGAGAUCGGA
Molecule: ribosomal RNA, 1563 nt
Filed under: human gut metagenome
Description: bacterial LSU rRNA
Rfam family: Bacterial large subunit ribosomal RNA
Source: RNAcentral